AUGAGGAGAGUAUAUUACCUGCAUUUUACAGAUGAGGAAACUCAUGGAUGCAGAAUUCUGAGGACAUUGAGAGAAGAGCCAGAUUUCAAGUUGUUUGAACACGGAACAGAGAUAAUUGAAGAACGCGCCUCUAACCUUAAAGCAACGGCCGGCCCGGUGGAAGGCAAACGCCCUGGGGUUCACCAGUUUCACUUCACUGGUUCCCUCCUCACCGGGGAUGGAAAGCAGAAGUUCACCACAUGAAAAUAGACCCCGUUGGGCAUGCAACAGCAACACCGUCAGCAAAGCGUCUCUUCCUGUUAGUUCACUUCUUCAAUUCUCAGCUUGGCUCUUUGCAACCUAAUUAGUCGGGCUCUAUGAGAAACCCUGCCUGGCCUUGAACCGGUGGCUUUACAGUGUUUGCUGAAGCUCCUGACCGCCCAGUGUUUCGGAAAGUCUGCUCUAAAUUCCUUAAUGGGCCCUUGUGCCGGAGAAAGAACUACAGGGAAAAACCUUUCUGACCCUCUCCAGAGCUCACCUUGACCCGGGGCACCUGUCCCAGUAGUCAGUCUUCAGAGAGCGGACCUGCAAGGGACUCAGGGCGUUGGGAUG
Molecule: long non-coding RNA, 591 nt
Filed under: Canis lupus familiaris (dog)
Lineage: Eukaryota; Metazoa; Chordata; Mammalia; Carnivora; Canidae
Description: lncRNA (ENSCAFG00845004961.1)
Source: RNAcentral